GGAGAAAUGGCCGCCGGACAACAAACUGCGGUGCAACCGUACAUGUUCGAGCCGGAGUCCGACCCAGAACAACAAGAGGCUCCAGAAGAAGUUCAGCAGCUGAGAAUGAACAUGGAUGUUUCUCAGUGGUGUUCCUGUGGCAGUUGUGAACAAGUGCCUACAGAGCCCGAGAAUAUCUGCUGUAUGGAAAUACCACAGGUAAGUGUGAACACUGGGCAAACAAGGUUGGUAUUCUGCAGUCUCUUUUCUUUAAUCCAUUGUCACUCACUUACCUCUCAUAACUUCUAGGUGACAUGAAGACUAAGUUACAGCAGCUUCCUGAGCAACCAUCAUGCAUGCUGGACCAUCCUGGCCUAGAACCUGUCUGCCUGAAUGUGUUUUCACUGCAGAAUGCACUGAACAUUUAUCGGGCAGACUACGGACCUUUACGUCUGAGGGGAAUAGAGCAGUUUGUACAGGGAUGUUUCCUGUCAGAGUGCUGAGACAGAGUGAGGAGUGGAGGUACUGCCCUGUAUCUAUAGAUCCUCCCUCCAUAUCCCUCAGAGGUGCCCGCCCUGUCCUAAUUCUGUAAGUGGAGAAGAAAUCAGGUUUGUAUAGCAGAGAAGAAGGGAGAAGAAGGUCCUGUGGUCGAAGGAGAUCCUCUCUCCUGCUUCAAGCUUUUGGCAGGCUGCCUGCAUCCAGUGCUGUCCCCUCUCCAGCAGACACUCAUGGUGGGACUUCAACCUCUCCUGAGACCUGACAUGCAUCACACAUUCACAGCGGCAAUCACCCGUCGGUCGCCCUCACCGCCUGAGUACCUAUACCGGGAGGUUGCCAGUUGAGCGGUUGUCACACCGAGAUGUCAUCUCAGCCUUCAGACAGCCGGUUGGUCAGCCUGCGUUGUCUGGCUUGGUUGGAGGAAUGACCUGCAGCCCACACGGCCCUUUGUGGAAUCGUUUUUGACGUGUCUCUGGCAGUAUGAAAUGCAUUUUGUGUCAC
Acanthopagrus latus (yellowfin seabream) is the source of this 978-nucleotide long non-coding RNA. RefSeq lists it as uncharacterized. The transcript is spliced from 5 exons. Lineage: Eukaryota; Metazoa; Chordata; Actinopteri; Spariformes; Sparidae. The record is from RefSeq and is a predicted model, not a curated record.